This is a long non-coding RNA of Sinocyclocheilus grahami, 88 nucleotides long. RefSeq lists it as uncharacterized. The record is from RefSeq and is a predicted model, not a curated record. Lineage: Eukaryota; Metazoa; Chordata; Actinopteri; Cypriniformes; Cyprinidae. The transcript has 3 exons.
CUACACCUAUAACAAUCAUUUGAGUGCAAUUAACAUUAUUAUUCCCAGCUCUGUUUUAAGCCUUCUCUUCUUGUAGAAAGUGACCUGG